RNAcentral lists this long non-coding RNA (725 nucleotides) under Monodelphis domestica (gray short-tailed opossum). RNAcentral describes it as "lncRNA (ENSMODG00000037062.1)". Lineage: Eukaryota; Metazoa; Chordata; Mammalia; Didelphimorphia; Didelphidae. The record is from RNAcentral.
GGAAGCUGUGGAAAGGAAACAAGACUGAGAGGGAAGGGCCCAACUGGGAGUGGCAGUUGGGUCUUGUGACUAGCACUUCCUUCCUGCCGGGAGUGGCAGUUGGGUCUUGUGACUAGCACUUCCUUCCUGCCGGGAGUGGCAGUUGGGUCUUGUGACUAGCACUUCCUUCCUGCAGGCUUCCUGGUGUUGGAGGAGAGAGGAGCUUGUUCAGCCCAGUCUGGAGUGGCAUGCUCUUCUUGGUUCAGCCCAAAGACACAGGCUUCUGAAGUGGAAAGUAAUUGGUUUCCCCUGAGUGCGGUCUGCUUUAUUGACCACAACAGUAAGAUAUGACUGCAGUAAUAAGAAUGAAGCGAGAAAAUGAUUAGCAGUACUCUCCUGGCCCAUAGCAAGUGCUUUUAUGACACCUUCUCACCUCUUUUCAUCUGUUGAGUGAAAGAAAAGAAGUCCCUUGCAAAACAUGAAAACUUAAUGGCUACAAUUGGCCAGUAUCUUUGGGGAUAAUCCAGGAGCUUGGUUCUGUGAGAUAAAAGGACUCUUCCCACAUCUAGACUUAUGAAACUUCUUGAAAUCUGUUUGAUUCUCUUGUCUUCUCCUGUGGUUCCAGAUGAUGACAUUGAGACAUUUAGGGCUGCCAAACAAAGACUCUGCUGCUUGCUGCUAAUUCCCAAAGAUGAGCUUCCUCUUACUUAGCUCUGUCAAAGACAACUACUUGAAAUAAUGCUUCU